GGCCCUUUUCUAGGGCUAGGUGUUGUGGGAGGUCUCUUGGUGGUUUAGUUGUAGUCAUCACUUAGAGAGGGGGCGUACAUAAAGCAUUGGCCUCACUUUUCCGAUCCUUUCGUACUAGGAACAGUUCAUCAUAGAUAGAAACCGACCUGGAUUGCUCCGGUCUGAACUCAGAUCACGUAGGACUGUUAAUCGUUGAACAAACGAACCCUUAAUAGCGGCUGCACCAUUAGGGUGUCCUGAUCCAACAUCGAGGUCGUAAACCCCCUUGUCGAUAUGGGCUCUUGGAGGGGAUUGCGCUGUUAUCCCUGGGGUAGCUUGGUCCAUUGGUCAAUUAUAUUGGGUCUGGUCACUAUUAGUACGUUGAGGGGUUGCUCUUAGUUAAGAGGUGGUGGUCUUGUUUUUGGAGGGUGUGUUUUUCUCCAAGGUCGCCCCAACCGAAAAAAUGCGAGCCAGAGUUUUGUUGGAGGUGGGCCUGGUAGGUUGGGCUUUGUCAUGGGGUGGCUGCUGAUUUUUAAGUUCCACAGGGUCUUCUCGUCUUAUGUUCACAUUCCUGCUUUUGCACAGGGAGAUCAAUUUCACUGAUUAUCUGUAAGAGACAGUUAAGACCUCGUUUAGCCAUUCAUACAAGUCUCGAUUUAUGGGACAAUUGAUUGCGCUACCUUUGCACGGUUAGGAUACCGCGGCCGUUGAACAUAGGGUCACUGGGCAGGCAUCACCUUCAAUACUUGGUUCAGCUGAAGGCUAUGUUUUUGGUAAACAGUCGGGCCUUGGGAUUUGCCUAGUUCCUUUUACAGAUUUUAAUCUUUCUAGUGGGCGCUCCUGGGUUGGGUUAACAGGGGGUAAAAUACAUGGUCUUGUUGGAGUGGGGGUAUUAGUUGUCUGUUAAUAAUGGGGUAUGUAAGUUUGCGCUUGAGAGGGGUGUGCCCUAGUUACUCAUUUUAGCAUUAAUUCUCCUAUGGUCAUAGGUUAACCUGUUGGUGGGAAGGGAGUCAUAGGGUUUUAGGAUUUUUGUGAAGGGUGGAGCUUUGACGCACUCUUUGUUGAUGGCUGCUUGAAGGCCCACAAUUAUUGUUUGUAGGGUGAGUUAUCCGCUAGAGGAGGUUGUAUUCUGUUUUAAAGGAGCUGUACCCCCUUUAAAUUACUCUUGACUGCUCUCAUUAGGGUAGCUUGGGGUUCUUGGAGGAGGUGUCAAGGCAGAACUUAGAUUCAUUUCACAGGUAACCAGCUAUCACCCAGCUCGAUUGGCUUUUCACCUCUACUAACAAGUCGUCCCACUCUUUUGCAACAGAGACGGGUUCGCUCAAGGAUAGCUGCUUGCAAGUAGCUCGCUUGGGUUUCGGGAUAGCAAGCUUAAGGUCACUUUGCUUGGCUGUUCUUGCUAAAUCAUGAUGCAAAAGGUACAAGGGUAUAUCUUUGCUGUUUGUUGCUUGGCUUGUUCACUUCUAUUUCAUCUUUCCCUUACGGUACGAGUCUCUAUUGCGCCAGAUAAUCUUUUCUAUCGCCUAUACUAAGUUGGGAGAAUGGUUUAGUUUGGUGGUUUAGUAGGUUUUUAAGUAUGCUUGUCUGUAGGGGGGUCGGGCUAGAGUUGGGCU
This 1592-nucleotide ribosomal RNA is filed under the name Zenaida auriculata (eared dove). Its description in RNAcentral is "16S ribosomal RNA". Lineage: Eukaryota; Metazoa; Chordata; Aves; Columbiformes; Columbidae. The record is from RNAcentral.